RNAcentral lists this long non-coding RNA (4347 nucleotides) under Salmo salar (Atlantic salmon). RNAcentral's name for it is "lncRNA (ENSSSAG00000094536.1, ENSSSAG00000095527.1)". Lineage: Eukaryota; Metazoa; Chordata; Actinopteri; Salmoniformes; Salmonidae. The record is from RNAcentral.
AUAAUAUGCUUGUGAGAGAUACUUGUCAUUAGAAAGUGUCCUUUGGACUCUGGUAUGUUUCAGUUGCACGUUUCCCUUAGCUGGGGUUCAGGCACUUGGGGCCCAGAGAGGGGAGAGGUCAGACUUGUUUUUUACAUGUCUCUGUUGCUAUGCAGAAUAUCAGCAAGAGAGGAGGACAGAAUGAUAUUGUCUUCAUGUGAAUGUGUCUUUACCUAUUCUUAAACCAUGUGAAGGGAUGGCGUGAUUAAUGGGGAACCAAUUAUUUGUCUCCACAAUGUCUGUGCGCAGGUCACUCCCCUCUCAGUGAGCUUGUCCAGGAGUGGGAACAAGAGGUGUUUUACUGAGGAUGGGCCACUAUGAGAUAGCACUGACAAAGGAAAUGUAUGAUGUAUUUUGAUAAGAAGGCCUAAAAAGCAUUCCAGAGGACAUGAGCUAAUGGUUCUGUUCAAUACCGUACCAGGGAGGGACAGUUCUAAGGGGACCAGAUACUGGUCUAUAUAAUGAACCCUGUUGACAUAGCAGUUACUGUCUGCUGUGUUUUAUGGAUAUCUGUCAUAUAAAACUUAACCUUUGUGAACUGUUACUAAGAUCUGUGGUUUGUCAAUGUACGUUGAAGGGGGUGUAUCUUUGCUAUAAAAUAUCUCUGUAGCCAUUGUGUAAUCACCUUCCUGGUUCAUUUGAGAGAGUGCAUUAUUGAAGGUCAAAGAGGCUUUUGCAAAAGUAUCUUAAGUAUUAAAGAUGUAGUUAAAUCGGACUGGUGUGUUUAACUCUCCUCAUUUGGUAAUGCAGAAAUUAGCCACCACAGAGCUCAACUGUGAAUGGUCCUGGCGCACCAAAAAAAAGAGUAAAGGGAAUCCAAUUUGGAUUUAGCGUCACUCCUAUCAAAUCACAUUGAGGGCAUAUGUCAUUGACAGAAACAAACUGAAUCGUUUCAUCUCGUGGUGUUGUUGGUGGUGUUGUUGUCAUCCAGUGGCUAGCUAGCUAAAAUUGGCCCUUUCCUAAAUUAGCCAUGGAUGGAGAUAGGGAUUUGGACAUGUUUUACUUAAUUCUCCGUACUGGCCAAUGAUUGUAAUGGCAAUGUAGAAGUUUAAUAUUAAUUGUAACUAGUUUAAGGUUAAGGUUAUGGUUAACUACCUAAUGUUGCCCAUGAAAGGAAGUUAGGCAGGCGAGCAAGUAUUUUAGUCAGGUAGCUUAGGACAACAGAAACGAAAAGCAUGUACUGUAUCAUGACAGAGUCAUAGACCGUUUAGGCAACAUAAACACAGAAAUCAGUACCAUGGACAGCCACAUCAUAUUUAGCUCACGUUGAUUGGACAAAAUAGUUUUUUAGAUCUUUUAGUUGUCACUAUAUUGGACUAAACAUAGGUGAUUAUGUUGAAGUUGAAAUGGUGCUGGAAUAGUGGAGGCAGCUCCUGUUUUAUUUGCGACUUGCGGUAACUCUCCAUGGUUCUAAAUCAAUAGUUAUUUAGUAGUUCGAAAAUGUCAAAAACAUUACCUUGCUUGACCAUGCUGACGGUCAGGUAACUGUUUGUUACAUGCAAUAUGUGUCAAGGCAUAUGAACUAACAGGUUAUAGAGCAAACAACGCAGUUAUCACAACACAUAGGUUGUAAUAUGGCUUUUUACUUCUUCUGGAUUGGCUUCUCUGGGGAUUUUACCCAAGCACCGCUACUGACAGGCAUUCUUCCAGCAGACAACGCUCUGCCUGGUGUAGCUACUUUUCUCCGUGUAGCCAGCCUACUUCUUUCCAGUAAAACGCAAGAAUAACUUUAAUCAAAACAUUAGCAAAUGUAGGUGGCUAAUAUGUAGGUGGCUACCAUUUACUUGUGUAGCUGCCAGCCAAAUAGUGUUGCACUUCUGUUGUCAUCUGAUAACAAUGAAGCUAUUUUCUGCUGAAUAUGUUGCACUAAUGUAUUUUCUGUGAAGGAAACUAUAGUUGCAUGUCCCUGAUCAAUGGAUUAAACCAAAAAAACACUGUUCACUUUCAAUAUAAAACGUGACCCCUGUCAGUACACAACUGGACUCACCUACAAACUGUCACGUCCUGACCAUGGUAAGCUGUUAUUUUCUAUGGUAGAGUAGGUCAGGGCGUGACGGGGGGUUUUCUAGUUUAGUUUUUUCUAUGUUGUUAUGUUCUAGUUUUGUAUUUCUAUGUUGGGUUGUUCUAGUUUUUGUAUUUCUAUGUUGGGCUUUGUUUGAGAUGAUCUCCAAUUAGAGGCAGCUGGUCAUCGUUGUCUCUAAUUGGAGGUCAUAUGUUUUUGGGGGGGGCACACGGGGAGAUUGGCAGAGUCAGGGUGGAGACCUGAGCCAAUUCCCCGUGCUUACCGUGGGGAGCAAGUGAAGAAGCAAGCACCGUGUUAUGCGGUGAUGAUUCACAGUCCGGUGUGAUCUGUGCCCGCGCCCCGCAUUUGCCGAGCUAGGUUGAGCAUUCAGCCAGGAAGGGUGGUGCCAGCUCAGCGCUCCUGGUCUCCAGUUCGCCUUCUCGGUCCAGGAUAUCCUGCUCUGGCGCUGCGCACUGUGUCACCAGUGCGUAUUCACAGCCCAGUGCGUCCUGUGCCCGCACCCCGCGUUUGCCGGGCGAAAGUAAGCAUCCAGCCAGGACGGGUUGUGCCAGCUCUACGCUCGAGACCUCCAGUGCGCCUCCACUGUCCAGUAUAUCCUGUGCCUGCCCCACGUACCCGGCCUCCAGUGAGUCUAUCCAGCCUGGUACGCCCUGUUCCUGCUCCCCGCACUUGCCCUGAGGUGCGUGUUACCAGUCUGGCGCCACCUAUGCCAGCCCCAUGCAUCAGGCCUCCAGUGCACCUGCCCAGUCCGGGGUGUCGUGUUCCUGCUCCCCGCACUCGCCAUGAGAUGCGUGUUACUAGUCUGGCGCCACCUAUGCCAGCCCCACGCAUCAGGCCUCCAGUGCGCAUUCCCAGUCCAGAGCUUCCGGCGACAGUUCCCAGUCCGGAGCUUCCGGCGACAUUCUACAGUCCGGAGCCUCCUGAGACGGCCCGCAGUCCGGAGCCUCCUGAGACGGCCCGCAGUCCGGAGCCUCCUGAGACGGCCCGCAGUCCGGAGCCUCCUGAGAUGGCCCGCAGUCUGGAGCCUCCGGCGAUGUCCCGCAGGCGGCGGUCUGCAGUCUAGAACCUCCGACGGCAGUCUACAGUCUAGAACCUCCGGUGAUGAUCCACGGUCCGAAGAUGAGCAUACAUAUACCCGCUGCGUUUUGGUCCGCUCACUACGAUGAUUAUGACAGAACUACCCACCAAGAAAGGACCAAGCAGCGGAGGAAGGAGCAACAGGAGAGUUAUCUCGAGUCCUGGACAUGGGAGGAGAUACUAGCUGGAGAAGGACCAUGGAGGAAGGCUGGAGAGGACCGGGAACGUUAUGCCGGAACACGGCUGGCAAGGAAGCCUGAGAAGCAGCCCACACGGGGAGAUUGGCUAAGUCAGUCAAUAGACCUGAGCCAACUCCCCGUGCUUAUUAUGGGGAGCAACUGAUCAAGAAGGCACCGAGCUAUGCGGAAAUGCGCACUGUAUUUCCGAGACGCAGUCAAAGCCCGGUGCGGUCGAUACCAGUUCCCCGCAAGUGCCGUGCUAGAGUGGGCAUCCAGCCAGGGAGAAGUGCGCCGGCGCAGCACAUCUGGCCACCAGUGCGUUUCCUAGGCCCAGUCUACCCUGCGCCUGCUCUACGCACGGCAACCAUCAGUCCUCAGCAAAGCCCAGUUCGCCCUGUGCCAGCACUCUGCCCGUGCAGGGCUACGCUGACAAGCCAGCCAGAAGGGGUUGUGCAGGCUGUGUGCUCCAGACCUCCAGUGCAUUUUCAAGACCCGGUGUAUCCUGUUCCUGCUCCUCGCACUAGCCCUGUAGUGCGUGUUAUUGUUCUGGCGCCUCCAAAGCCAGCACCACGCAUCAGGCUUUUAGUGCGCCUGCCCAGUCUGGUACGUCCUGUUCCUGCUCCUCGCACUAGCCCUGUGGUGCAUGUCACUAGUCUGGCGCCUCCAAAGCCAGUCCCACGCACAAGGCCUUUAGUGCGCCUGCCCAGUCCAGUACGUCCUGUUCCUACUCCUCGCACUAGCCCUGUGGUGCAUGUCACUAGUCUGGCGCCUCCAAUGCCAGUCCCAUGCAUCAGGCCUUCAGUGCGCAGUCCCCGUCUAGAGCUUCCGGCGACAGUGCCCCGUCUAGAGCUUCCGGCAACAGUGCCCCAUCUAGAGCUUCCGCCGACAGUGCCCCGACUAGAGCUUCCGGCGACAGUUCCCCGUCCAGUGCUUUUGGCGACGUCCUACAGUCCGGAACCGACAGAGACGGCCCACAGUCCGGAACCGACAGAGACGGCCCACAGUCCGGAACCGACAGAGACGCCCGCC